Gallus gallus (chicken) is the source of this 708-nucleotide long non-coding RNA. NCBI's taxonomy places the organism in Eukaryota, Metazoa, Chordata, Aves, Galliformes, Phasianidae. The record is from Ensembl.
GGGUUCCUGUGUGUGGCCAUUGAACAGAAGCUGGUGGGAGUACCUGGGUUGUUUUCUUUGUGCAGACUUCUUCCUACAGAGAUGGGGGGAAUUAGGAGUGCAGGAGACCAAAGAGAUACCUAGCAUGCUGCACAUCCUGAUUUCUGCUUCUGUUUUCAGGUCUUGCUCUUGCUUCCAGUGGGACCAAAUUUUAAGUCAAGCUUAUGACAGAUUUCAACAUAUAUAAUUAAGAUAUUACCCUGCUCUUAAAGAAGCCGAAUGAAGAAUACAAAGAGCUGUUACACAGUUGUUUAACUCUUGAGAAAGCUUGUUGAGAUGAAGUCAAUAGAACAAUUGUGCAUUUAAUUGCUAAUCUAUUUUGUUUUAUUAAAUGCUCAGUGUUAUUUUCCUAAUUUCAUUACAUGGUAAUGGAUAAUCAAGUAAUGAUCAGUGGCUUAUAAUUUAAAAAUAGCUUAACUGUAUGAAACUGUGGAAAGUAUCUGUCAUCUUGAUGGACAGAAUAAGAACGUAUGCAGGAGGGCUGCUCAGGAAGUAAUGCCUUGUAUUUUAUGUUGGCCCACAAUGACAGAGGUGGCUUUUGUUGGUAUGGUAGUAGAGGCUGAACCUUCCCACCGGUAGUCCAUUACAUGUUAUUGCUGUGUGACAGAUGGCAGCAGAGGGGUAGUAUGACAAAAUGGCAUUUGACAUGGAAGUGGGUAUGAAGCAAAG